RNAcentral lists this ribosomal RNA (309 nucleotides) under Gottfriedia luciferensis. Its description in RNAcentral is "bacterial SSU rRNA". It matches the Rfam family "Bacterial small subunit ribosomal RNA", at positions 929 to 1237 of the family's 1533-position model. The record is from RNAcentral. Lineage: Bacteria; Bacillati; Bacillota; Bacilli; Caryophanales; Bacillaceae.
UUGUGGUGGAGCAUGUGGUUUAAUUAGAAGCAACGCGAAGAACCUUACCAGGUCUUGACAUCCUCUGACAACCCUAGAGAUAGGGCUUUCCCUUCGGGGACAGAGUGACAGGUGGUGCAUGGUUGUCGUCAGCUCGUGUCGUGAGAUGUUGGGUUAAGUCCCGCAACGAGCGCAACCCUUGAUCUUAGUUGCCAGCAUUCAGUUGGGCACUCUAAGGUGACUGCCGGUGACAAACCGGAGGAAGGUGGGGAUGACGUCAAAUCAUCAUGCCCCUUAUGACCUGGGCUACACACGUGCUACAAUGGAGAA